AUCAUCUAGGGAUCUUGUUAAAAAGCAGAUUCUAAUUCACUGAGUCUGGGAUAGAAGCUGAGAUUCUACAUUUCUAAUUAGCUCUCAAGUGAUACUAG
RNAcentral lists this microRNA precursor (98 nucleotides) under Loxodonta africana (African savanna elephant). Its description in RNAcentral is "mir-544 microRNA precursor family". It matches the Rfam family "mir-544 microRNA precursor family". Lineage: Eukaryota; Metazoa; Chordata; Mammalia; Proboscidea; Elephantidae. The record is from Rfam by way of RNAcentral.